GUAAGGAAUAUUGGACAAUGGUGGCAACACUGAUCCAGCCAUGCCGCGUGCAGGAUGACGGCCCUAUGGGUUGUAAACUGCUUUUAUUCGGGAAUAAACCUCUGUACGUGUACGGAGCUGAAGGUACCGAAUGAAUAAGCAUCGGCUAACUUCGUGCCAGCAGCCGCGGUAAUACGAAGGAUGCAAGCGUUAUCCGGAUUUAUUGGGUUUAAAGGGUGCGUAGGCGGGUUUGUAAGUCAGAGGUGAAAGCCCAUCGCUCAACGAUGGAACUGCCUUUGAUACUAUAGAUCUUGAGUAUGGUUGACGUUGGCGGAAUGUGCAGUGUAGCGGUGAAAUGCUUAGAUAUUGCACAGAACACCGAUUGCGAAGGCAGCUAACGAAGCCACAACUGACGCUGAUGCACGAAAGCGUGGGGAGCAAACAGGAUUAGAAACCCCAGUAGUCC
This 445-nucleotide ribosomal RNA is filed under the name uncultured bacterium. Its description in RNAcentral is "bacterial SSU rRNA". It matches the Rfam family "Bacterial small subunit ribosomal RNA", at positions 354 to 796 of the family's 1533-position model. The record is from RNAcentral.